CUUUUCUGAAAUCUGUAAACUUCUAUUUUCAAGGCAGACCAGAUAAAAAUCCAUCUUCAAUGCAGUCGGUAAGACAAAACUACUUGAACUGAUGCACAAUCACAUAGUGUCCACUUCUCAGUUGAGUGCCAGCUUCAUUGUGUCGAAUCUUCGUGCUGUGACCUUGGCGGACCAGGUCCUGACAUUUAAUGUAACAACUGCUGUAAGUGUUAAAAUAAAUCAAAUGUUAAAAUAAAUUGAAAAUAUGGCAAUCAAAAGUAUUGGAGCACCUAAGAAACAUAGAAUGCAUUAUA
Molecule: long non-coding RNA, 293 nt
Filed under: Carassius auratus (goldfish)
Lineage: Eukaryota; Metazoa; Chordata; Actinopteri; Cypriniformes; Cyprinidae
Description: lncRNA (ENSCARG00000049603.1)
Source: RNAcentral